GACGAACGCUGGCGGCGUGCUUAACACAUGCAAGUCGAACGCUGAAGCUCAGCUUUUGUUGGGUGGAUGAGUGGCGAGCGAGUGAGUAACACGUGAGUAACCUGCCCCCUUCUUUGGGAUAACGCCCGGAAACGGGUGCUAAUACUGGAUAUUCACUGGUCUUCGCAUGGGGGUUGGUGGAAAGGGUUUUUCUGGUGGGGGAUGGGCUCGCGGCCUAUCAGCUUGUUGGUGGGGUGAUGGCCUACCAAGGCUUUGACGGGUAGCCGGCCUGAGAGGGUGACCGGUCACAUUGGGACUGAGAUACGGCCCAGACUCCUACGGGAGGCAGCAGUGGGGAAUAUUGCACAAUGGGCGCAAGCCUGAUGCAGCGACGCCGCGUGAGGGAUGGAGGCCUUCGGGUUGUGAACCUCUUUCGCUCAUGGUCAAGCCGCAACAAUGGUUGUGGUGAGGGUAGUGGGUAAAGAAGCGCCGGCUAACUACGUG
Molecule: ribosomal RNA, 483 nt
Filed under: uncultured bacterium
Lineage: Bacteria
Description: partial 16S ribosomal RNA
Rfam family: Bacterial small subunit ribosomal RNA
Source: RNAcentral